Molecule: non-coding RNA, 45 nt
Organism: Trichobilharzia regenti
Lineage: Eukaryota; Metazoa; Platyhelminthes; Trematoda; Strigeidida; Schistosomatidae
Source: Rfam
AUUCAGCUGACGAGUCCCAAAUGAGACGAAAUGUGCAUCCUUGAU